UGGGGAAUAUUGCACAAUGGGCGCAAGCCUGAUGCAGCCAUGCCGCGUGUGUGAAGAAGGCCUUCGGGUUGUAAAGCACUUUCAGCGAGGAGGAAGGCGUUAAGGUUAAUAACCUUAGCGAUUGACGUUACUCGCAGAAGAAGCACCGGCUAACUCCGUGCCAGCAGCCGCGGUAAUACGGAGGGUGCAAGCGUUAAUAGGAAUUACUGGGCGUAAAGCGCACGCAGGCGGUUUGUUAAGUCAGAUGUGAAAUCCCCGAGCUUAACUUGG
This 270-nucleotide ribosomal RNA is filed under the name uncultured bacterium. RNAcentral's name for it is "partial 16S ribosomal RNA". It matches the Rfam family "Bacterial small subunit ribosomal RNA", at positions 355 to 617 of the family's 1533-position model. The record is from RNAcentral.